GAAGAUCGAUGUUCAUGGUUGAUCACUGGAUUGUAUGGUCCAGACUCGAUUAUUUACAUACUGCCGCCAUAUAGCUGAAAUAGUAUUGAGUGCGGCGUAAAAAAAACCUCACUCACUAUUGGAUUGAGUGUCUGCUUAGAGAAGGGAAAGUCAGUGGUUUGAACCUUUCAGAGUAAAUUCUAAUCUUUAUUUAGUGUUCUGGUUGGUUGGCUCCUCAGUCAAAUCCAUAAACCAGAAACACAAAACGUGUGGCCCAAUACCCUUGUCUUUCUCGUACCCCCACCAGAUAUAGCUGUGGAUCGUCACAAACCCAUGUCUGCCACUUUGUGAUAGCCUACACAUUUCAUUGUGUGGUAAACUAGUAGCUUCAAUGCUUGUACCAAUUUGAAAGAACUGUAUUUUGGCAAGGAGUUGGCAACAGAGCAUUGUACAAAGGGAAAAUAAAGUUUCAUGAGAACCAAUUAUGCAAAUGCAGAUAGUUUAGUAGGUCGUCUAAUAUGUCCUCUGCCUUUCGUUGCCUUCACAACAUGACAGUGGUAACUGUUUAUUGUACAUUGGCAACAAGACAAGGUUAGUUUUUGGUAUGUCAGUGAUCUUAAAUGAUCAUUAGAACAGGAAAUAUUGCUGAACAAUUUGCCAGUUUUCAUCCCGUAUGUGGAGAACACGAGACAUUAUGUAUAGGUUUGUCUUCAUAUUAAUGAGAAUUGGGAAAGCUUGUGCUAUUACUUUUUAAACAAUAAAUAUCCGGAACCAUUUUGCCAUUCAAAGUUUUAUUGUAGGAGAGACUUCAUCUCCAUUUCUGUGGUCACCAAAUCAGCAGAUAUGUUCUCUUGUAUAUAUACAGUUUAUUAGAGUGGGUGGCUAACUUAAUGUUGGGCUAGUGUCUCAGUAUGUAAGGACUUUGUCCGUGCAAGGAGCAGUUCAGCUAAGUGUAGAAGCCCUUAUUGUAAGGACUAUGUCCGUGCAAGGAGCAGUUCAGCUAAGUGUAGAAGCCCUUAUUGUAAGGACUAUGUCCGUGCAAGGAGCAGUUCAGCUAAGCGUAGAAGCCCUUAUUGUAAGGACUAUGUCCGUGCAAGGAGCAGUUCAGCUAAGUGUAGAAGCCCUUAUUGUAAGGACUAUGUCCAGUGCAAGGAGCAGUUCAGCUAAGCGUAGAAGCCCUUAUUGCAAGGACCAUCUCUCCAUGAAGGGCUGCUAAUUGUAGAAGCACACAUGGGUAAAUUGUAAGUAGUAUAUUAUUAACAUUUACAUGAUCAUCUUGUGUAAGUAGAAGAGUUACAUUGCCUUGGUGAUGCCUCUGAUUGUUGGAAGCCAAGACCAGUGCUGUGAAUUCACCAAAAUGAUAUUUAAUUCGUUAGCAUCAUUUUGGUGAGUGUUUUCUGUCGCAUCUCACUAUCACAGUUCCAAAACUGCUUCAAACCAAAUUCACUCACUGACUCACAAUAUGUAUAUAUGCAGGGUCGUCACGAUAUGGCUGAGAUAUUGCCGAUGUGACGUUAAAUAUUAACUCACUCACUCACUAUAUCUGCAGGAAAGGGCAGUGUACAGUCCAUUUUAGGGUCUGCACUUUGUUCCUUAUAAGUCUGAAGGAGAAGCAACAGUGAGAAUUCAGUUUUUCUUACCAUAAGUAUUAUUCUGUCAUUUAACUAUUGGCUGAGAUCUUUAUAAUCAUUCUUACUGUAUUUUUUUAAUUUUAAUAGGUUAUUUAUGGAUGUAAAUGACUCGGGUUUGGCAUCACCACAAAUAUGUUGAAAUGGGCAUUGAGUUUAGCAUCAACACAAUUACAGUGAUUAUAAUUAAUUUCUAUGAUAUACUUGUUUUAGAUUUCAAGAUAUAUACCAUUUAUCAGGUAUCUUGUCAAUCAUACUCAUGUGAUAAGAAAUACUAUGAUGUAUAUUUCAUCACAACCCAAUUUUCUGUCAUUCCAGUAAAACAUUAUGAAUUAUUCUUCUAUUCUUAAGGGAUGGUAUGCAUGAGAUGCAUUUGUUUUGUUUUAUAAUUUAUCAGAAAUUGAAAUCAAUAAAAGAUUGUUCACUGGAUAUGCAGGAUGUUCUGAUGUGUUUCAAGAACAAAUUGUUUGACUCUUUUCAAAGAAAACAUUUUGUUUUUAAGCACUUACUGCAAAAAUUAUAUAUUGCUUAAAAGAAGUUACAGAACACUGAUUUAAUUUUAAUAUGACUGUAGUUAAUCUAUCAUGACCAUGACAGAAUCGGGGCAGUGGGGUAGCCUAGUGGUUAAAGCGUUUGAUCGUCACGACGAAGACCCGGGUUCAAUUCCCCACAUGGGUACAAUGUGUGAAGCCCAUUUCUGGUGUCCCCAGCCGUGAUAUUGCUGGAAUAUUGCUAAAAGCGGCGUAAAACCAAACUCACUCACUCAUGACAGAAUGUAUACAGUCAUAUUUAAAGCAUCAGGUUUUACAGCUUCCUUUGAGAACUAUCCCUUUAAAAAAUCUCAGACCCUGAUUGGGCCCUUAAAGCCUCUAGAAUUACCUCCCUUUAAGAGAAUAUCAGCUAUGGCCUUGUAUUUAAACAAGUCUGUUUAGUUGCCUUUGAGCUCUCAGUCCGUCCUAUUGGGAAGUAAUAUUACAUGUAGUAGUUUCUGGAUAGGAUAACUUGUUUAUACUAUUGUGUCUUUUCCAGUAAGUGAUCCUCUGCCCAAGUGUCUCAUCAUUGACUUUAAGACAUGUAUUUCGAAGUGUCUUGCUAUAAUUUUCACUGUCUAUACUUAAUGUUGUUGUCAUGUUUACUUACAAAAUUCGUCUUUGCCCCUAAAAUGUGUCUGUUUUCACAACACUGCAUUGAACAUCAGAAAGGUUAUCCGAUUAAAGUUAUUGAUGUUCAAGGGUCACUAUUCCUCCACAAAUCUGAAAUAGCCAUCUGAGUGAGUGAGUGAGUGAGUAUGGUUU
Molecule: long non-coding RNA, 2902 nt
Organism: Haliotis rubra (blacklip abalone)
Lineage: Eukaryota; Metazoa; Mollusca; Gastropoda; Lepetellida; Haliotidae
Exons: 3
Source: RefSeq, a predicted model, not a curated record